Molecule: ribosomal RNA, 499 nt
Filed under: uncultured bacterium
Lineage: Bacteria
Description: partial 16S ribosomal RNA
Rfam family: Bacterial small subunit ribosomal RNA
Source: RNAcentral
GACGAACGCUGGCGGCGUGCCUAAUACAUGCAAGUCGAGCGAAGUUUUUCUGGUGCUUGCCCUAGAAAAACUUAGCGGCGAACGGGUGAGUAACACGUAAAGAACCUGCCUCAUAGACUGGGACAACUAUUGGAAACGAUAGCUAAUACCGGAUAACAGUAUUUCUCGCAUGAGAGAUAUUUAAAAGUUGGUUAUGCUAACACUAUGAGAUGGCUUUGCGGUGCAUUAGCUAGUUGGCGGGGUAAAGGCCCACCAAGGCGACGAUGCAUAGCCGACCUGAGAGGGUGAUCGGCCACACUGGGACUGAGACACGGCCCAGACUCCUACGGGAGGCAGCAGUAGGGAAUCUUCCGCAAUGGGCGAAAGCCUGACGGAGCAACGCCGCGUGAGUGAAGAAGGAUUUCGGUUCGUAAAGCUCUGUUGUUAGGGAAGAAUGGAUAUGUAGUAACUAUACAUGUAAGAGACGGUACCUAACCAGAAAGCCACGGCUAACUACGUG